UUGGAGGGCAAGUCUGGUGCCAGCAGCCGCGGUAAUUCCAGCUCCAAUAGCGUAUAUUAAAGUUGUUGCAGUUAAAAAGCUCGUAGUUGAAUUUCGAGAUCAGUACGCUGGUCGUGCCUUCGGUAUGCACUGGUGUCACUGGUUUCUCCCUUCUGAAGAACCGUAAUGCCAUUCAGUUGGUGUGGCGGGGAAUCAGGAUUGUUACUUUGAAAAAAUUAGAGUGUUUAAAGCAGGCUCGCGCUUGAAUACAUUAGCAUGGAAUAAUGAAAUAGGACGUUUGAUCCUAUUUUGUUGGUUUCUAGGAUCGACGUAAUGAUUAAUAGGGAUAGUUGGGGGCAUUAGUAUUCAAUUGUCAGAGGUGAAAUUCUUGGAUUUAUUGAAGACUAACUACUGCGAAAGCAUUUGCCAAGGAUGUUUUCAUUAAUCAAGAACGAAAGUUAGGGGAUCGAAGACGAUCAGAUACCGUCGUAGUCUUAACCAUAAACUAUGCCGACUAGGGAUCGGAUGAUGUUAAUUUUUUAAUGACUCAUUCGGCGCCUUACGGGAAAC
Molecule: ribosomal RNA, 549 nt
Filed under: uncultured Glomus
Lineage: Eukaryota; Fungi; Glomeromycota; Glomeromycetes; Glomerales; Glomeraceae
Description: SSU rRNA
Rfam family: Eukaryotic small subunit ribosomal RNA
Source: RNAcentral